GACGAACGCUGGCGGCGUGCCUAAUACAUGCAAGUAGAACGCUGAAGGAGGAGCUUGCUCUUCUGGAUGAGUUGCGAACGGGUGAGUAACGCGUAGGUAACCUGCCUGGUAGCGGGGGAUAACUAUUGGAAACGAUAGCUAAUACCGCAUAAGAGUAGAUGUUGCAUGACAUUUGCUUAAAAGGUGCAAUUGCAUCACUACCAGAUGGACCUGCGUUGUAUUAGCUAGUUGGUGGGGUAACGGCUCACCAAGGCGACGAUACAUAGCCGACCUGAGAGGGUGAUCGGCCACACUGGGACUGAGACACGGCCCAGACUCCUACGGGAGGCAGCAGUAGGGAAUCUUCGGCAAUGGACGGAAGUCUGACCGAGCAACGCCGCGUGAGUGAAGAAGGUUUUCGGAUCGUAAAGCUCUGUUGUAAGAGAAGAACGAGUGUGAGAGUGGAAAGUUCACAAUGUGACGGUAUCUUACCAGAAAGGGACGGCUAACUACGUG
Molecule: ribosomal RNA, 495 nt
Filed under: uncultured bacterium
Lineage: Bacteria
Description: partial 16S ribosomal RNA
Rfam family: Bacterial small subunit ribosomal RNA
Source: RNAcentral